UCAGUCUUGCAAUUGGAUUGAGAACAAUGUACAACUCUUAUCGAUAAGCCAUUGGAGGGCAAGUCUGGUGCCAGCAGCCGCGGUAAUUCCAGCUCCAAUAGCGUAUAUUAACGUUGUUGCAGUUAAAAAGCUCGUAGUUGAAGUGUGGGUGAUCGCUGUUGUGAGACUUCGGUCUCUCGAUAGUAAGUCACCCCCUUCCAGUAUCCAGUAGUGGGUAUUCACUUACUUACUAUUGUGUGUUGGUCGUUUACUGUGAGAAAAUUAGAGUGUUCAAAGCAGGCGUUUGCUUGAAUAGAUUAGCAUGGAAUAAUAAUUGAAGGCUUUCGUGUUCGAUUUGAUUGGUUUGUUCAUGGAAGCAAGGUUAAAAGGAACAGUUGGGGGUAUUCAUAUUCACUAGUUAGAGGUGAAAUUCUCGGAUUUAUGGAAGAUGAACAAGUGCGAAAGCA
This 446-nucleotide ribosomal RNA is filed under the name Blastocystis sp. RNAcentral describes it as "SSU rRNA". It matches the Rfam family "Eukaryotic small subunit ribosomal RNA", at positions 497 to 953 of the family's 1831-position model. The record is from RNAcentral. Lineage: Eukaryota; Bigyra; Opalinata; Blastocystidae.